Peromyscus maniculatus bairdii (prairie deer mouse) is the source of this 656-nucleotide non-coding RNA. NCBI's taxonomy places the organism in Eukaryota, Metazoa, Chordata, Mammalia, Rodentia, Cricetidae. The record is from RefSeq and is a predicted model, not a curated record.
AGACUGACCAACUCAACUACCACCCAGACACACAUCCAGAGCUUUGAGUUGGCACUCCCCAAUAUCUACCCUAUCUAUGACCUCCUAGAGAUCCUGAAGGGACUGGCCCAACAGAACCACAGCCACGGGAUCUCCACGACUUGGGACAACAAAAGUUUUGGUGAGAGUCCAGCAUUAGUGGUGUACCAGAACCCAGAGGCCUUGAACCUGACCAACAGCACACUACACGAUGAACAUCUGAAAGUAAAACUGUCUGGACAAAAGAGUAUACUGCAGGACACGCCACAGCUUCUAAUGUCGUUAAAAGGAAUGAUGAGCACCUAAAAGGGGAACUACAAGCAGAACCAAGGUGCCAGGAAUAUAUUUACAGACCAAUGCAAAAGAGAAAAAAAAAAAUCAAGACAGGACGGGGGAAGAAAAGUGUAACAUGAAAUGCCUCCUGAGCUGCUUAUGCCAUCCUCCAAUACCAGCUGAAGAUGACUUUACUGGGAAUAGAACGCUUUGACCAACCAUGCAACCCUGAAACUGAUCCCAAAUCCCACCUCUCAUGUGAGAGCUCCCAAGCUGGUUCUAAAUGCUGCAGUUUAAGACCUCGCCCAUGUGCAUGUUGAAAUUUAAUUGCUAAAGGAAUAGUAUUAAAGAUGCGUGCUCUUCAA